AGUGAACGCUGGCGGUAGGCCUAACACAUGCAAGUCGAACGGCAGCACAGUAAGAGCUUGCUCUUACGGGUGGCGAGUGGCGGACGGGUGAGGAAUACAUCGGAAUCUACUUUUUCGUGGGGGAUAACGUAGGGAAACGUACGCGAAUACCGCAUACGACCUACGGGUGAAAGCAGGGGAUCUUCGGACCUUGCGCGAUUGAAUGAGCCGAUGUCGGAUUAGCUAGUUGGCGGGGUAAAGGCCCACCAAGGCGACGAUCCGUAGCUGGUCUGAGAGGAUGAUCAGCCACACUGUAAAUGAGACACGGUCCAGACUCCUACGGGAGGCAGCAGUGGGGAAUAUUGGACAAUGCGCGCAAGCCUGAUCCAGCCAUACCGCGUGGGUGAAGAAGGCCUUCGGGUUGUAAAGCCCUUUUGUUGGGAAAGAAAAGCAGCAGGUUAAUACCCCGCUGUUCUGACGGUACCCAAAGAAUAAGCACCGGCUAACUUCGUG
This 492-nucleotide ribosomal RNA is filed under the name uncultured bacterium. Its description in RNAcentral is "partial 16S ribosomal RNA". It matches the Rfam family "Bacterial small subunit ribosomal RNA", at positions 29 to 507 of the family's 1533-position model. The record is from RNAcentral.